RNAcentral lists this ribosomal RNA (699 nucleotides) under Faecalibacterium prausnitzii. RNAcentral describes it as "bacterial SSU rRNA". It matches the Rfam family "Bacterial small subunit ribosomal RNA", at positions 437 to 1162 of the family's 1533-position model. Lineage: Bacteria; Bacillati; Bacillota; Clostridia; Eubacteriales; Oscillospiraceae. The record is from RNAcentral.
UGUUGAGGAAGAUAAUGACGGUACUCAACAAGGAAGUGACGGCUAACUACGUGCCAGCAGCCGCGGUAAAACGUAGGUCACAAGCGUUGUCCGGAAUUACUGGGUGUAAAGGGAGCGCAGGCGGGAAGACAAGUUGGAAGUGAAAUCCAUGGGCUCAACCCAUGAACUGCUUUCAAAACUGUUUUUCUUGAGUAGUGCAGAGGUAGGCGGAAUUCCCGGUGUAGCGGUGGAAUGCGUAGAUAUCGGGAGGAACACCAGUGGCGAAGGCGGCCUACUGGGCACCAACUGACGCUGAGGCUCGAAAGUGUGGGUAGCAAACAGGAUUAGAUACCCUGGUAGUCCACACUGUAAACGAUGAUUACUAGGUGUUGGAGGAUUGACCCCUUCAGUGCCGCAGUUAACACAAUAAGUAAUCCACCUGGGGAGUACGACCGCAAGGUUGAAACUCAAAGGAAUUGACGGGGGCCCGCACAAGCAGUGGAGUAUGUGGUUUAAUUCGACGCAACGCGAAGAACCUUACCAAGUCUUGACAUCCUGCGACGCACAUAGAAAUAUGUGUUUCCUUCGGGACGCAGAGACAGGUGGUGCAUGGUUGUCGUCAGCUCGUGUCGUGAGAUGUUGGGUUAAGUCCCGCAACGAGCGCAACCCUUAUGGUCAGUUACUACGCAAGAGGACUCUGGCCGGACUGCCGUUGACAAA